GGUCAUCUGCGCCCGCUGCAGGUUCCGGAGGUGCUUCACUGUCAUUUCCAGAAUGUCUGCCUUCUCCAGCUUGGAAUGCCGGGAGCUCUACGCAGAGGAAACAAGGGAAGAAAGCUUUGAUGACUGCAAAGAGGAAAAAAAAAAAGGGUCUGAGUUCCCACGGGAUCUGCCAUUUCACCCCGAGGUUUUAAGAGGGAAAAGGAAACGGAGCCCCUCUGCGCGCAACCCACUUAAUUUCUAGGGGCUUCCGAGAGACACAGGCUCUCCCGGUCGGCCGUACGCGGAGGCGGCGGACGGGGAGUCGGCCUGUCCCCUCCUCACCCUGCGGGCGGCCAAGGCGGCCUCUGCGCCCGGCGCGCGAGCCCUUUAAGAGCUCCUCCACCAGCCGAGCUGCAGUUUGACAUCAGCCGGCCGGCGAGGGCGCGCCUGGAGUCGGAGCACGUGCCAGGAUGUUUUAUUGCCGCCGCGGCUGCGGCCGGACCCAGAGGAUGUGUGGUGUGUGUGUGUGCGUGCGUGUGUGCGUGUGUGUGUGUGUGUGCGCGCGCGCGCGCCCCGGGAGCAGGGAGGCGGGGGCCGGCGGCGGGCGGCCGGGAGCGGGGGCCGGCUCUUAGUCCCCGGGAGAAGCCAAGAAGCCUGCCAGAGACUGGGUUGCUGCCUUGCCAAGAGCCAUCCUGGUAGGGUUAUUGAAAGAGCUUUGAGUAAGUACACACGGGGCGGAUCUCUCUCCUCCCCUCGUACCUGCCCUGCACCUGUACAGGGAGCAGCCCCACACAUAUCACCUGAUCACAGCCCUUUCAGACUCCGUGAGAAAAAUGAAGCCCGGGAGAGCAGAGACGUGUUUGCCUUUCCUCCGGGGCGGCAGCCAGCUCCUUGCAGCUGGGAGUGUCCAGAGACACUUUCGACAUUCCAGGCAUCCUGUGCCUGCAUGUCUGUCUGUGUGUGCCUCCUGGCGACACCACACCUGAGCCAGAACGAAGCUGGAGAUCACUUUCCCUGUGGCCACUCUUCUGCUCCGGCUGCAGGCGGUUGGCUGGCUGGAGACUUCAGGAUCCUUUACUGGAAUCAUCAUCAUUGUCUUCUCAGAUGAGAGUCUUGGAACUAACUCAUCACAGAAUUCCCGAGCGAGCAGAACUUCUCAUCACCUGAACAGUCCCUGAAAAGGAGUUAGAAUUUCUUCCUCUAUGUGCCCCUUUAUUUCUAGCAGGUGUCUAAUAAAUAUUUCCCAAAUG
Molecule: long non-coding RNA, 1229 nt
Organism: Peromyscus californicus insignis
Lineage: Eukaryota; Metazoa; Chordata; Mammalia; Rodentia; Cricetidae
Exons: 4
Source: RefSeq, a predicted model, not a curated record